GGUCGGCGUGGACCACGAGGUCGCCGGCCUCGAGGGCCUGCACCUCCAGGAUCACGUCCUGGGGCCGCUUG
Molecule: transfer RNA, 71 nt
Filed under: Methylobacterium crusticola
Lineage: Bacteria; Pseudomonadati; Pseudomonadota; Alphaproteobacteria; Hyphomicrobiales; Methylobacteriaceae
Description: tRNA-Ser
Source: RNAcentral